This is a regulatory RNA element of 103 nucleotides. It matches the Rfam family "S10-Clostridia ribosomal protein leader". The record is from Rfam.
UACUAGCUAUGAUGUGGAAGGUUGCGACACACUCGGAAGCUUUGUCAUGGGGUGCGGCGGUAAUUUUCACGGAGCAAGUCUUAUUUUCAAAAUAGACGAAGGA